RNAcentral lists this ribosomal RNA (496 nucleotides) under uncultured bacterium. Its description in RNAcentral is "partial 16S ribosomal RNA". It matches the Rfam family "Bacterial small subunit ribosomal RNA", at positions 28 to 506 of the family's 1533-position model. The record is from RNAcentral.
GAUGAACGCUGGCGGCGUGCCUAAUACAUGCAAGUCGAGCGAACAGACGAGGAGCUUGCUCCUCUGACGUUAGCGGCGGACGGGUGAGUAACACGUGGAUAACCUACCUAUAAGACUGGGAUAACUUCGGGAAACCGGAGCUAAUACCGGAUAACAUGUUGAACCGCAUGGUUCAACAGUGAAAGACGGUCUUGCUGUCACUUAUAGAUGGAUCCGCGCCGCAUUAGCUAGUUGGUAAGGUAACGGCUUACCAAGGCAACGAUGCGUAGCCGACCUGAGAGGGGAAUCGGCCAACGUGGAACGGAGACAGGGUCCAGACCCACAGGGGGGGGAGGAGUAGGGAAUUUUCCGAAAUGGGGGAAAGCCUGAGGGAGAAACCCCGCGGGAGUGAAGAAGGUCUUGGGAUCGAAAAACUUUGUUUUGAGGAAAAAAAAAAUUUGAAAGAAACUUGGCCCUCUUUGGCGGGACCUAAUAAAAAAGCCCCGGAGAAAUACGG